CAAUAGCGUAUAUUUAAGUUGUUGCAGUUAAAAAGCUCGUAGUCGGAUUUUGGCUGAGAACGAACGGUCCGCCGUUAGGUGUGCACUGUUUGGUCUCAGCUUCCUGGUGAGGAGGUGUGCUUCACGGCCACGUAGUCACCGUGGUUACUUUGAAAAAAUUAGAGUGUUCAAAGCGGGCUUACGCUUGAAUAUAUUAGCAUGGAAUAACACCAUAGGACUCCUGUCCUAUUUCGUUGGUCUCGGGACGGGAGUAAUGAUUAAGAGGAACAGUUGGGGGCAUUCGUAUUUCAUUGUCAGAGGUGAAAUUCUUGGAUUUAUGAAAGACGAACUUCUGCGAAAGCAUUUGCCAAGGAUGUUUUCAUUGA
RNAcentral lists this ribosomal RNA (365 nucleotides) under uncultured eukaryote. Its description in RNAcentral is "partial 18S ribosomal RNA". It matches the Rfam family "Eukaryotic small subunit ribosomal RNA", at positions 592 to 976 of the family's 1831-position model. The record is from RNAcentral.